Molecule: ribosomal RNA, 458 nt
Filed under: Sophonia rosea
Lineage: Eukaryota; Metazoa; Arthropoda; Insecta; Hemiptera; Cicadellidae
Description: partial large subunit ribosomal RNA
Source: RNAcentral
AAUUCCUGCCCUAUGAUUAUUUAAAUGGCUGCAGUAUAUUGACUGUGCAAAGGUAGCAUAAUAAUUAGUUCUUUAAUUGUGAACUGGAAUGAAUGGAUUAAUGAGGAAUUUAUUUUAUUAUUUUUUGUAUUAAAAAUUAAUUUUUAAGUAAAAAAGCUUAAUUAUUUUUUUGGGACGAGAAGACCCUAUAGAACUUUAUUCUUAACUUUGAUUUUCUUUUUUAGUUUUCUAUAUUUUUUAAUAUUAAAGAAUUUUGUUGGGGUGACAAAUAAAAAUAGACUUUAUUUAAAUUUUUCAAUAGUUUUUGAUUUAUUGAUCCAUUUUUAUUGAUUAUAAGAUCAAGUUACCUUAGGGAUAACAGCGUAAUUUUAAUGGGGAGUUCUUAUUUAUAUUAAAGAUUGCGACCUCGAUGUUGAAUUAAGAUAAGAUUAAGGGGAAGGUUCUUUAAAAUCUAAGUC